UCGCUACCACCAGGCUGUCAAUCAAGCUCUCUGCGACAGAGAACGUAACAUGAAAAACACCUGGUUCUCCUGGGAAAGAUAAGUUCCCAUAUGACCCUGUCCAAGGAUACAGUGUGCUCCAAGAGAAGCCAGCAGAAGGAGCGUAGGCAUCAGAGGACUGCCUACUUCCUUGAUGGACAGAAAAUAUGCCGGGAGACCUUCAAGUUUCUGCAUGCAUGAGUUAUCUUUUAAAAUAAACCCUACAUUAAGCUCUUUUAAAAACUAUAAUAAUAAGCAUAUGACAUACUUCAUCUUAUUUGCAUGAUGGUUAUUUUUUCCAGAAUAUCUCAAAACAAGCUCACCAACCUUAUCAAAUUUUAUAAACAAUAUGGAUUGGCACCAAGGAUGAAAAGGUCUGGUGGGCGUGUUUUAAGCAGCAGGCUGCUGACUGUUCAGGACAUCCAAAGACUGAAGCAGUUCAUAAUCAAUUUUGCUGAUGUCCACGCCAUGCCACUCCCUGGGCGCAUCCCCCGUUUCAAAAGGUCUGACAUCCAGGUGCUUCCCACAACAGAGACCAUGACAUCAGUGUGGCGGAAAUACAAGGCGCAGAUGUGCGACCAUGCUGCACUGUGACAACUGCUCUGGACAGAACAAAAACAGGUUCAUGCUGUGGUACCUGGCUUGGCGAUGCAUGGUGGGUCUUCAUGACGGCGUGUCCCUCAAUUUUUUAAUUGCUGGCCACACCAAGUUUGCCCCGGACUGGUGUUUUGGGCUGUUCAAGAAGAGGUUUUGUCGUACACCAGUUGCCAGUCUGAAAAACAUCUGCCAGGCUGUGAGCUCCAGCACAUCGGAGAGCAAUGUGAACAUCCCCCAGCUGGUCGGUGAUGAGACUGGGCAAGUCUUUGUGCAGACACACAACUGGCACAGCUUCCUCACUCCCAGCUUCAAGCCUCUGCCAGGUGUAAAGAUGUACCACCACUUCCGCUUCACCAGUACAGCCCCUGGAGUGGUCUUUGCCAAGGAGUCCGCCAACAGUGAAGAAGAGUGCUUUUUGCUUCUUUGCAAUGAAGGAAUCCUUGAUCCUGAAGCCUUGCCCACUGCACAGAAACCACCUGGCCUUAGUGCUAUGCCUCAGUGGUAUCUGUACAACAGCAUCAGGGACUUCUGCACUGAGGACACAAAAGAUCUGGUUUGUCCAAAACCAGCUGUGGCUCAACUGUGAAUAUGCAAGUGGUACAAGUCAGGUUAUGGGCAUGUAGCACGCAUGUGCAAGUGUUAAAUGGUCAUAUACUUCUAUAUUAUUACAUUAAAUAACACUAAAUUAGAUUGCAUUGUACAUAAUUGUUGAGUCAUAUUAAAUACUCUUCUUAUUAAUUAAAUAACACUAGAUUGAUUACAUUGUACAUAAUUGUUUAAAAUAGUAAUAGUAAAUAGUAAAGUAUAUAGUAAAUAAGUUUGAAUUGUAAGUUUAUUUAUUUGAAUGUAAACUGUUUAUAAAUGUCUUUCAAUUUAUUUGGAAUGUGGUGGAAUGUUAAUUGCUGUCUUUAGAGCCCUUUUUCUCAAAAACAAGGUUUGGUGACAGUCGACCUUUGGAAGAGCGUGUCUCAUACAAUUUUUGGAGUAGAAAAAAUAGUUUUGGUAUCACCAUAAAGCUCAGACUUUCCUCUUUACAAUCAUGAAGAAAACUCAAAAUCUGUUUCUGGGUCAAAGUGACUCAAAAUGAUGGAGCAGGUCACAUAUGUAGAAUUAUAUGGUUCUUCAUUGUCAACAGAACUGCCUUCUAAAGGGUUCUCCUCUUCCUCCUCCUCCAGUUCCAGGCAAUGUCUCUUACAUAGUCUCUUUAUUGGUGUUAAAGUUAGAAAUGGCAGUGAUGCAGAGAAUGCAACAGCUGAGGUGCCAACACCAACAUCAGUGCAGGAAACAGUUUUCUGUGUGCCUUAAAAAAGAUACUUUUAUUGUUUAUGCAAAAUUCUAAAAUGAUAAGCAAUCAUUUUGUUACUCAUUAACAGUACACAAACAGAAGAAAUCACAUCACCUAAUGAAGUAACUUUUGGUCAUCUAACCUGUACUUCUGACAUGAGGUUGGCGAGUCUUCAUUGAAAGCUGUUUUCCAAUUGUGCGUGUUGUUGGUGGGUCCGUCUGGCAUGCCACAUGCUUCACCACAUCCACCAGUCCAGAUGUGCUAGCCUAAACACAAAGAGCAGUGAUAUGUAAUGCAUGCCUUUCCCUAAUGUAACAAAAAAAGAAUUUUAAGGACACGAUACUCCAAAAAUGCAGUAAAAGCAAAUAAUGUCUCAUAAUGUUUUGACACAAUUAUUCCAUUAAAAUUACAUUAUAUUUACCAGUUUGUUUGCGACCACAGAAAAUAAAUGAAAAGGUCCCUGUCUAUGUAACAUCAACGUUCCUACGGUGUCUUCUUCUUCUGUGGACAGCUACUUAGCUACCGAGCAGAUGUGUACCAGGUUAAAGACAAUUAAAAUAGUCUAAGUUUUGGAGCUGGAAGAUGCACGCGAUCAGAUGAUUGAUCUAUUUGUCUCUUAUAAUUUUAUCAGCAGAUAAACAAUGACUGUCAGCUGCUAGCUAACUAGCUUUUCACAUUGAAGCAAUAACGUCCUGUUAUGUUUUCUAGGCUAGUUCAGUUUACAACAGACACUGUACUGUAGUGUUUUAAUUCUGUUUCUGCUCCAAAUCAUCACAAACUUACUGUUGUUUUCUCUGCUCCGUGUCUUUUUUGCCACUCGCUUUUUUCUCUCUCCAAAGUAGUUGUGCGACAGUAAUCAUCAACCGUGAUAAACACAGUGCGCUAGUUCUGGGUUAAUUGAAGCCUUGAUGCAGGUUCUUAUUAAUCGUUAUAGUCACAUUAUAGUACCCGCUAUUCUCAAUUAGCUCGGACCAUGUUGAUAUUCGGGUUUUGUCUCUGCUCAUUCUAGCGGCGACACACACAAACAUAGUACUUACUGAAAAGCAGAGAGGGGGUUGUAGCCGAUUCUGUGGUCUGUCCCAGGACCGUGGUCUCUGGAGGGGACCAGUGGUUACUGCCACUAGGGGCGCUAGAGACACUGGUCGCGACCAGUUGCUCUCUGGCACGGACCAGUGGUCACUACCACUACGUGCGCUAAAGACAUUGGUCGCGACCAGUGGCACAGUGGUCAUGACCAGCUUCUUACUGGCACAAAGGACACUAAAAUGACUGGUCCUGACCACCUCCUCUGUGAUCUGUUCUGUUGUUUGGACCAGUUGAGUGAUCUGUGG
This is a long non-coding RNA of Dicentrarchus labrax (European seabass), 3231 nucleotides long. The record is from Ensembl. Lineage: Eukaryota; Metazoa; Chordata; Actinopteri; Moronidae.